This 495-nucleotide ribosomal RNA is filed under the name uncultured bacterium. RNAcentral's name for it is "bacterial SSU rRNA". It matches the Rfam family "Bacterial small subunit ribosomal RNA", at positions 903 to 1397 of the family's 1533-position model. The record is from RNAcentral.
AAAGGAAUUGACGGGGACCCGCACAAGCAGCGGAGCAUGUGGUUUAAUUCGAAGAUACGCGAAAAACCUUACCAAGACUUGACAUCCCACGCAUAGCCCCGAAAAGGGUAAAAUAAUAGCAAUAUUACGUGGUGACAGAUGGUGCAUGGUUGUCGUCAGCUCGUGUCGUGAGAUGUUCGGUUAAGUCCGUCAACGAGCGCAACCCUUGUUUUCAGUUGCCAGCAUUAAGUUGGGCACUCUGGAGAGACUGCCGUGGUAACACGGAGGAAGGUGGGGAUGACGUCAAAUCAUCAUGCCUCUUACGUCUUGGGCUACACACGUGCUACAAUGGCCGCUACAAACAGUUCCGAACCGGUAACGGGGGGGCAAUCUGAAAAAAGCGGUCUCAAUUCGGAUUGUGGGCUGCAACUCGCCCACAUGAAGUCGGAGUUGCUAGUAAUCGCAAAUCAGCAUGUUGCGGUGAAUGCGUUCCCGGGUCUUGUACACACCGCCCGU